AGAGUUUGAUCAUGGCUCAGGAUGAACGCUAGCUACAGGCUUAACACAUGCAAGUCGAGGGGAAACGACAUCGAAAGCUUGCUUUUGAUGGGCGUCGACCGGCGCACGGGUGAGUAACGCGUAUCCAACCUGCCCACCACUUGGGGGAUAACCUUGCGAAAGUAAGACUAAUACCCAAUGACGUCUCUAGAAAACAUCUGAAGGAGAUUAAAGAUUUAUCGGUGAUGGAUGGGGAUGCGUCUGAUUAGCUUGUUGGCGGGGUAACGGCCACCAAGGCGACGAUCAGUAGGGGUCUGAGAGGAAGGUCCCCCACAUUGGAACUGAAGACACGGUCCAAACGUCCUACGGGAGGCCA
RNAcentral lists this ribosomal RNA (355 nucleotides) under uncultured bacterium. RNAcentral describes it as "bacterial SSU rRNA". It matches the Rfam family "Bacterial small subunit ribosomal RNA", at positions 8 to 350 of the family's 1533-position model. The record is from RNAcentral.